GGGAGUGGUGUAGUGGUUUGAGUGUUGGACUAUGACUCUGGAGACCAGGGUUUGAUUCCCAGCUCGGCCA
RNAcentral lists this transfer RNA (70 nucleotides) under Phrynosoma platyrhinos (Desert horned lizard). Its description in RNAcentral is "tRNA-OTHER". The record is from RNAcentral. Lineage: Eukaryota; Metazoa; Chordata; Lepidosauria; Squamata; Phrynosomatidae.